CAUUUUUCAAAAGAACAUUUGCCCAGGUCAUUUGACCAGAUGCCAAGUUAAAUCAUUAAGGCAUGGCCAACUGCCAUUUCAUUUUUCUUUUUUUUAACUUAAUAUCAUAGAUGUUUUUUAAUUUAAAGGAACCUUAGAUAUCAUUUUCCUUGAGCACAGAAUUUACAACUCAAGAAUGAAAAAAAAAAGAGGGAGGGAUAAUACUGGACAGAAAAAGAACACUGCUAAUCCUCUGGGUAGUUAUCACACAUAGAUUACUACGCCUCUUGCAGAAUGUGAAAGUACAAGUAAACCUGGAGCAUUUAACCAAACAACAACAAAAAUGACUGGGGGAGG
Gorilla gorilla gorilla (western lowland gorilla) is the source of this 336-nucleotide long non-coding RNA. RefSeq lists it as uncharacterized. The transcript has 3 exons. NCBI's taxonomy places the organism in Eukaryota, Metazoa, Chordata, Mammalia, Primates, Hominidae. The record is from RefSeq and is a predicted model, not a curated record.